This 339-nucleotide ribosomal RNA is filed under the name Triticum aestivum (bread wheat). RNAcentral describes it as "partial small subunit ribosomal RNA". Lineage: Eukaryota; Viridiplantae; Streptophyta; Magnoliopsida; Poales; Poaceae. The record is from RNAcentral.
AUGCGCCGGGAAGGAAAAAGAAGGCAGUCCGGCGAGAAAUCCACGGCGAUCCGGAGAGCAAACGGCGGAGAAGGUGUCUGCGAGGUGGACAGCAACGAACAAUGCGCUACUUCACGGCGACUUAGGGUUUGGGUGUGUCUCUUCUGUCCCGGUUCAUCGAUUCCGGCUAAACUCGUCAACGGCUCAUGUACUGUAGAUUGGGCUUUUAUAGUUCCCCCUUGGGCCUGUUUCUACACCGCUGUAUCUUCGGUUCACAUCCGCGUUCAUUCUUCCAAAAAAAAGAAGAUCGGCGUUGAUUCGUCCGCCACAAGAUACUACUGUUUUCCCUAUGCGAACUAG